CCUCAAAUUUGUAGAGAAGACAGCUCCUAUUGCAGUCUACACAUCUGGAAAAGGUUCCUCUGCUGGUGGUCUCAUCACAUUUGUAACGCGGGAUAGUAGCUCGGUAGGUUUCAGUGUCCCACACCGAGAUCUAGUCCGUUUCUCUAUAUAGAAUUUAUGCUGCAAAUACAAAGUACUACUACCUGAGCAAGAACAGACCCCCUUGACAUCACCACCAUCGCCGCCGCGGAGCUGAAGGACUAUCAAGUCGUGUUUUAGGCUGCUCAGGAGUGUCUGGGAGCAGCAUGUCGAUGAGCUGCAAGUGGGGUUUGAGUGUUCACAACAACAUUGGGAGAAAAAACACACUUCCUGCCGUAGAAGCUCCGGCAGCCCUCUGUGUUCAUAUGUCCAUUCUGCCGCCCUUCCGAAUUUUGUGUCUAUAUGUGGAGCACUUUAAAGUCUACUGCUAAGGAACAAUUAUAUAUAUAUAUAUAUAUAUAUAUAUAUA
Long non-coding RNA from Panicum virgatum (switchgrass), 487 nucleotides. RefSeq lists it as uncharacterized. NCBI's taxonomy places the organism in Eukaryota, Viridiplantae, Streptophyta, Magnoliopsida, Poales, Poaceae. The record is from RefSeq and is a predicted model, not a curated record. The transcript has 2 exons.